AAUCCUAAAGAUUUGAACUUUAGUCUAAAGGUCCUCCCACUAUUUUAUAGGAAUGGAUAGCCUCUACCUCCAAUUCAAAGAAUUACCUUAAUUCCAUAGCGGAUACUAAAAUCCACACAGACUACAUAUAGGUCCGAAGAUGGCUUGAUCAACCUAUAUGCACCUAUGAAUAGGUUUUCAAUCAAUUAUUUCUUCAAACAACUUCUAGUAUUUAAUUUAGCCCC
Molecule: long non-coding RNA, 224 nt
Filed under: Elaeis guineensis (African oil palm)
Lineage: Eukaryota; Viridiplantae; Streptophyta; Magnoliopsida; Arecales; Arecaceae
Description: long non-coding RNA (EGUI_LNC031972)
Source: RNAcentral